GAGUGGGGGUGACUGGUGACAGAGUGAGGGGGUGACUGGUGACAGAGUGAGUGAGUGGGUGACCAGUGACAGAGUUAGGGAAUGGGUGACUAGUGGCAGAGUGGGGGAGGGAGGGAAGAGAGGACUAGUGACAGAGUGUGGGGAAUGACUGGUGACAGAGGGAGGGAGUGACUAGUGACAGAGGGAGGGAGGGGGUGACUGUCACUAGUCACCCCAUCCCUCUCUCUGUCACUAGUCACCCCCCCUCACUCUGUCACUAGUCACCCCCUCCCUCACUCUGUCACUAGUCACCCCCUCACUCACUCUGUCACUAGUCACCCCCUCACUC
This is a non-coding RNA of Pelobates cultripes (western spadefoot toad), 328 nucleotides long. The record is from the annotation of a GenBank genome assembly. NCBI's taxonomy places the organism in Eukaryota, Metazoa, Chordata, Amphibia, Anura, Pelobatidae.